UUUAUCCUUUUCAAUUGCAGAGCUGAGAUGUCUCCAAAUUGGGUAGCAACUGAAGGAACUCGAUGAGCAGUUUUUCUCUUGUGGAUUUAAUUCAGACAUAUGUCUAUAUAAAAAUUGCAUUUUUGGGGUACUAUUGUAAUUUCUGGAAUUGCGUUUAUCGAAUCUGAAAUGAAACUCAAAUAUUUUGUUUGUUACGUUCUUGUUGC
RNAcentral lists this long non-coding RNA (206 nucleotides) under Nicotiana benthamiana. RNAcentral's name for it is "long non-coding RNA (NBEN_LNC000201)". Lineage: Eukaryota; Viridiplantae; Streptophyta; Magnoliopsida; Solanales; Solanaceae. The record is from RNAcentral.